CGGAGACAGACAGUAACUUCAGCAAAAUCAGAUAUUUGGGCUGCUUGACCUCAUUGCGUGAUUGCUAUGAAUUAACAAGACUUUGUGGGAAAAGGGAACUUGCCUUUUGAGCUUUGUACCAAAGACCUGGGUAAAAACGUUUACUGUAACCGGACACAUUCUGGAUAGGAGGCUCAUGGGAGUAAAUACGUGCUCAAAACUGGAAGUGUCACUGUCUGACAGCUAACCAUCUCAGUCUUUCCUGAGUACUUGGAAACUGCCGAGACCCCUGCUAAUGUGCUGACUGGUCGCUAUGGGCAGACGGUACCCGGAGGCUCACUGUCACCCAAGCAGCUCAUGUACGUAUGGGAUUGGUCCCUCUUCUUUUUUCCUUUAAGUUUCAUUGUAGACUAUUGCAGUAAAGGUUUGUAACAUUUAAAUGAGAGUGUUUAGAAAUGCAGGAGGAUGCGUUGCUCUAGGGUACGUUUUUAAUAUUGAAUGAUGGGAAAUGUUAUUUAAAUUAGGCUUUUUCUAAUCCAGU
This 520-nucleotide long non-coding RNA is filed under the name Lynx canadensis (Canada lynx). RNAcentral's name for it is "lncRNA (ENSLCNG00005005779.1)". The record is from RNAcentral. Lineage: Eukaryota; Metazoa; Chordata; Mammalia; Carnivora; Felidae.